GCGGAGGAAAAGAAACCAACAGGGAUUGCCCUAGUAACGGCGAGUGAAGCGGCAUCAGCUCAAAUUUGAAAUCUGGCUCUUUCAGAGUCCGAGUUGUAAUUUGCAGAGGGCGCUUUGGUGUCGGCAGCGGUCCAAGUUCCUUGGAACAGGACGUCACAGAGGGUGAGAAUCCCGUACGUGGUCGCUGACCUACACCGUGUAAAGCCCCUUCGACGAGUCGAGUUGUUUGGGAAUGCAGCUCUAAAUGGGAGGUAAAUUUCUUCUAAAGCUAAAUACUGGCCAGAGACCGAUAGCGCACAAGUAGAGUGAUCGAAAGAUGAAAAGCACUUUGGAAAGAGAGUCAAACAGCACGUGAAAUUGUUGAAAGGGAAGCGCUUGCAGCCAGACUUGCUUGUAGUUGCUCAUCCGGGCUUUUGCCCGGUGCACUCUUCUGCGAGCAGGCCAGCAUCAGUUUGGGCGGUUGGAUAAAGGCCUCUGUCACGUACCUUCUCUCGGGAAGGCCUUAUAGGGGAGGCGUCAUGCAACCAGCCUGGACUGAGGUCCGCGCAUCUGCUAGGAUGCUGGCGUAAUGGCUGUAAGCGGCCCGUCUUGAAACACGGACCAAGGAGUCUAACAUCUAUGCGAGUGUUUGGGUGUCAAGCCCGAGCGCGCAAUGAAAGUGAACGGAGGUGGGAUCCCGCAAGGGUGCACCAUCGACCGAUCCUGAAGUCUUCGGAUGGAUUUGAGUAAGAGCAUGGCUGUUGGGACCCGAAAGAUGGUGAACUAUGCUUGAAUAGGGUGAAGCCAGAGGAAACUCUGGUGGAGGCUCGCAGCGGUUCUGACGUGCAAAUCGAUCGUCAAAUUUGGGCAUAGGGGCGAAAGACUAAUCGAACUAUCUAGUAGCUGGUUCCUGCG
This 894-nucleotide small RNA is filed under the name Pyrenochaetopsis sp. 1 NV-2015. Its description in RNAcentral is "eukaryotic LSU rRNA". It matches the Rfam family "Eukaryotic large subunit ribosomal RNA", at positions 50 to 962 of the family's 3401-position model. Lineage: Eukaryota; Fungi; Ascomycota; Dothideomycetes; Pleosporales; Pyrenochaetopsidaceae. The record is from RNAcentral.